This 2902-nucleotide ribosomal RNA is filed under the name Enterobacter kobei. RNAcentral describes it as "23S ribosomal RNA". It matches the Rfam family "Bacterial large subunit ribosomal RNA". The record is from RNAcentral. Lineage: Bacteria; Pseudomonadati; Pseudomonadota; Gammaproteobacteria; Enterobacterales; Enterobacteriaceae.
UUAAGCGACUAAGCGUACACGGUGGAUGCCCUGGCAGUCAGAGGCGAUGAAGGACGUGCUAAUCUGCGAAAAGCGCCGGCGAGGUGAUAUGAACCUUUGACCCGGCGAUGUCCGAAUGGGGAAACCCAGUGUGUUCCGACACACUAUCGUUAACUGAAUACAUAGGUUAACGAGGCGAACCGGGGGAACUGAAACAUCUAAGUACCCCGAGGAAAAGAAAUCAACCGAGAUUCCCCCAGUAGCGGCGAGCGAACGGGGAGCAGCCCGGAGUCUGAAUCAGCUUGUGUGUUAGUGGAACGGUCUGGAAAGUCCGACGGUACAGGGUGAUAGUCCCGUACACGAAAAUGCACAGGCUGUGAACUCGAAGAGUAGGGCGGGACACGUGGUAUCCUGUCUGAAUAUGGGGGGACCAUCCUCCAAGGCUAAAUACUCCUGACUGACCGAUAGUGAACCAGUACCGUGAGGGAAAGGCGAAAAGAACCCCGGCGAGGGGAGUGAAAAAGAACCUGAAACCGUGUACGUACAAGCAGUGGGAGCCUCUUUAUGGGGUGACUGCGUACCUUUUGUAUAAUGGGUCAGCGACUUAUAUUCUGUAGCAAGGUUAACCGAAUAGGGGAGCCGAAGGGAAACCGAGUCUUAACUGGGCGUUAAGUUGCAGGGUAUAGACCCGAAACCCGGUGAUCUAGCCAUGGGCAGGUUGAAGGUUGGGUAACACUAACUGGAGGACCGAACCGACUAAUGUUGAAAAAUUAGCGGAUGACCUGUGGCUGGGGGUGAAAGGCCAAUCAAACCGGGAGAUAGCUGGUUCUCCCCGAAAGCUAUUUAGGUAGCGCCUCGUGAACUCAUCUUCGGGGGUAGAGCACUGUUUCGGCUAGGGGGCCAUCCCGGCUUACCAACCCGAUGCAAACUACGAAUACCGAAGAAUGUUAUCACGGGAGACACACGGCGGGUGCUAACGUCCGUCGUGAAGAGGGAAACAACCCAGACCGCCAGCUAAGGUCCCAAAGUCAUGGUUAAGUGGGAAACGAUGUGGGAAGGCACAGACAGCCAGGAUGUUGGCUUAGAAGCAGCCAUCAUUUAAAGAAAGCGUAAUAGCUCACUGGUCGAGUCGGCCUGCGCGGAAGAUGUAACGGGGCUAAACCAUGCACCGAAGCUGCGGCAGCGACGCUUAUGCGUUGUUGGGUAGGGGAGCGUUCUGUAAGCCGUUGAAGGUGGCCUGUGAGGGUUGCUGGAGGUAUCAGAAGUGCGAAUGCUGACAUAAGUAACGAUAAAGCGGGUGAAAAGCCCGCUCGCCGGAAGACCAAGGGUUCCUGUCCAACGUUAAUCGGGGCAGGGUGAGUCGACCCCUAAGGCGAGGCCGAAAGGCGUAGUCGAUGGGAAACAGGUUAAUAUUCCUGUACUUGGUGUUACUGCGAAGGGGGGACGGAGAAGGCUAUGUUAGCCGGGCGACGGUUGUCCCGGUUUAAGCAUGUAGGCGGAGGUUCCAGGUAAAUCCGGUACCUUUUAACGCUGAGGUGUGAUGACGAGGCACUACGGUGCUGAAGUAACAAAUGCCCUGCUUCCAGGAAAAGCCUCUAAGCAUCAGGUAACACGAAAUCGUACCCCAAACCGACACAGGUGGUCAGGUAGAGAAUACCAAGGCGCUUGAGAGAACUCGGGUGAAGGAACUAGGCAAAAUGGUGCCGUAACUUCGGGAGAAGGCACGCUGAUAUGUAGGUGAAGCCCCUGCGGGUGGAGCUGAAAUCAGUCGAAGAUACCAGCUGGCUGCAACUGUUUAUUAAAAACACAGCACUGUGCAAACACGAAAGUGGACGUAUACGGUGUGACGCCUGCCCGGUGCCGGAAGGUUAAUUGAUGGGGUUAGCGGUAACGCGAAGCUCUUGAUCGAAGCCCCGGUAAACGGCGGCCGUAACUAUAACGGUCCUAAGGUAGCGAAAUUCCUUGUCGGGUAAGUUCCGACCUGCACGAAUGGCGUAAUGAUGGCCAGGCUGUCUCCACCCGAGACUCAGUGAAAUUGAACUCGCUGUGAAGAUGCAGUGUACCCGCGGCAAGACGGAAAGACCCCGUGAACCUUUACUAUAGCUUGACACUGAACACUGGUCCUUGAUGUGUAGGAUAGGUGGGAGGCUUUGAAGCGUGGACGCCAGUCUGCGUGGAGCCGACCUUGAAAUACCACCCUUUAAUGGCUGGUGUUCUAACGUAGACCCGUAAUCCGGGUUGCGGACAGUGUCUGGUGGGUAGUUUGACUGGGGCGGUCUCCUCCCAAAGAGUAACGGAGGAGCACGAAGGUUAGCUAAUCCUGGUCGGACAUCAGGAGGUUAGUGCAAUGGCAUAAGCUAGCUUGACUGCGAGAGUGACGGCUCGAGCAGGUGCGAAAGCAGGUCAUAGUGAUCCGGUGGUUCUGAAUGGAAGGGCCAUCGCUCAACGGAUAAAAGGUACUCCGGGGAUAACAGGCUGAUACCGCCCAAGAGUUCAUAUCGACGGCGGUGUUUGGCACCUCGAUGUCGGCUCAUCACAUCCUGGGGCUGAAGUAGGUCCCAAGGGUAUGGCUGUUCGCCAUUUAAAGUGGUACGCGAGCUGGGUUUAGAACGUCGUGAGACAGUUCGGUCCCUAUCUGCCGUGGGCGCUGGAGAAUUGAGGGGGGCUGCUCCUAGUACGAGAGGACCGGAGUGGACGCAUCACUGGUGUUCGGGUUGUCAUGCCAAUGGCACUGCCCGGUAGCUAAAUGCGGAAGAGAUAAGUGCUGAAAGCAUCUAAGCACGAAACUUGCCCCGAGAUGAGUUCUCCCUGAGACUAUAAGUCUCCUGAAGGAACGUUGAAGACGACGACGUUGAUAGGUCGGGUGUGUAAGCGCAGCGAUGCGUUGAGCUAACCGAUACUAAUGAACCGUGAGGCUUAACCU